GACGAACGCUGGCGGCGUGCUUAACACAUGCAAGUCGAACGGAAAGGCCCUGCUUUUGUGGGGUGCUCGAGUGGCGAACGGGUGAGUAACACGUGAGUAACCUGCCCUUGACUUUGGGAUAACUUCAGGAAACUGGGGCUAAUACCGGAUAGGAGCUCCUGCUGCAUGGUGGGGGUUGGAAAGUUUCGGCGGUUGGGGAUGGACUCGCGGCUUAUCAGCUUGUUGGUGGGGUAGUGGCUUACCAAGGCUUUGACGGGUAGCCGGCCUGAGAGGGUGACCGGCCACAUUGGGACUGAGGUACGGCCCAGACUCCUACGGGAGGCAGCAGUGGGGAAUAUUGCACAAUGGGCGGAAGCCUGAUGCAGCAACGCCGCGUGCGGGAUGACGGCCUUCGGGUUGUAAACCGCUUUCGCAUGUGACGAAGCGUGAGUGACGGUAAUGGGUAAAGAAGCACCGGCUAACUACGUG
RNAcentral lists this ribosomal RNA (468 nucleotides) under uncultured bacterium. Its description in RNAcentral is "partial 16S ribosomal RNA". It matches the Rfam family "Bacterial small subunit ribosomal RNA", at positions 28 to 507 of the family's 1533-position model. The record is from RNAcentral.